RNAcentral lists this unclassified non-coding RNA (339 nucleotides) under soil metagenome. Its description in RNAcentral is "partial contains 5.8S ribosomal RNA, internal transcribed spacer 2, and large subunit ribosomal RNA". The stretch from base 1 to 120 matches the Rfam family "5.8S ribosomal RNA", at positions 35 to 154 of the family's 154-position model. The record is from RNAcentral.
GAUGAAGAACGUAGCGAAAUGCGAUAAGUAAUGCGAAUUGCAGAUCUCCGUGAGUCAUUGAAUCUUUGAACGCACAUUGCGCCCUCGGGUAUUCCCGAGGGCAUGCCUGUCCGAGCGUCAUUAUCCAACCAUCAAGCUCGGCUUGCGGUUGAGCCCCGCACCGUCCCCGGGACGGUGGGCUCGAAACAUGUUGGGCGCCCGUGAGGUUGUCGGUGCAGCGAGCUCUCGAGCACGUGCCGGGCAACCGCUCUGGGCGUCGGCCAGCCCCCCCAUUUUCUCAGGUUGACCUCGGAUCAGGUAGGAAUACCCGCUGAACUUAAGCAUAUCAUAAGCGGAGGA